CGAACCGGCACGAGCCACACUGUUCUCCUUUGCUCUAGGGACACCGCUCCGGCCGACCCGUCCGAGGCCUUCCCCGAGUUGUCCCUGCGUGUGCGGCGCAGCUCCCCCUCCCCGCCCCAAGGAACUUGCGCUCCGGGCCAACCCGGAUCUGCCCGGGCGCCCACAGAGCCUUCCUAUCGACUUGGGAGCCCCUCGUUCGGCUCCCGCUUUCCGAGCAACGAAAACACUUAACGUCGGCCAGAAAUCACGCUCAGAGGCCCGCGGAAAAGCAUGGCUCGGACUCCAGGCUUGAGCCACAGUUGUCACCUACCAGGGUUCAUUUCCGCCCCCGCGGGUCAAGGCCCCAAGUGGCAACCUGCAGAGCUCCUGGCCUGCAUUAGUCGCCUCCUCCCCCAGUCUUUUGAGUCCUGGGAGCCCGGAGUGUGAGUGCAACCAGCAAGGCAGGCGCCUAGAACUCCCGCGCUGUGAGUUUCGACGCCCACCGCCGGCUAGGACGCGAGGGUACUAGGCUUGACUCCCUAGAGCGCGCGCGCACACACACACACACACACACCCGCGCCCCGUAAAUCUCUCAUGUUGAGAAAAGCAAGGCUUGCAGGAAGCCACUCCGGAUGUUUGCUUCUUUACAUGUGGCAUUUGUGGCUGGCUCUGAUAACGUCAGGAGCUCCACCAGCGCGUUUAGUAAGAAGACAGAAAUACGAGCACACACAUCACCACGUCUGCGGCGCCGCCGCCUGCACCCCAUCCCCAUAUAUGUCACGAGAAUGCCGAAGAAAUGAGGCUUAGAAAAUACAUUUGAAGGAAACCCCCGUGUAAUUCCUUGGAGGGAAACGAGAUCGUCUACCACUGAAAUGCCAUUGGUUCACACAAUAAAGAUGUCAUUUUAAAAGACAAUGGCAUGAACGUUUAGUAGGUUAAUAUGUAGCACCUUGGGCAAACGCCACUUUGUGCGGUGCAGGCCAAGUUUUGCCGCACUCCUCUUCCUGGGUCUGGAGGACGCGGCGCCGGAGCCUGGCUCCAGCCAGUCUUUCCGGGGGCUGGAGUAGGUCAGAGCGCGCGGGCCCAAGGGAGGGAGAGGCCGGCCGGGUGGAACGGGGACUUGCGACCACUGGCUGGGCGUGGCCCUC
RNAcentral lists this long non-coding RNA (1127 nucleotides) under Heterocephalus glaber (naked mole-rat). RNAcentral's name for it is "lncRNA (ENSHGLG00100035713.1)". Lineage: Eukaryota; Metazoa; Chordata; Mammalia; Rodentia; Bathyergidae. The record is from RNAcentral.